RNAcentral lists this long non-coding RNA (894 nucleotides) under Zostera marina. RNAcentral's name for it is "long non-coding RNA (ZMAR_LNC003383)". The record is from RNAcentral. Lineage: Eukaryota; Viridiplantae; Streptophyta; Magnoliopsida; Alismatales; Zosteraceae.
ACAUGAUCCUUUGCAGGAAGCCGAUCACCUGAUUGAUUGAUCUCUCUUUGAGAGAGAGAAAAAAACAUCUUUUUUAUGUUUUUGUUUAUCCGUCUGUGACUGCGCUGCGGAUCACGUUUGAAUAAGUUUUUGUUUGUUGUUUAGGUAAGAAUUGCUUAGUCAAUUUUGCUGUUAAAUGGAAGAUCAUUGAUGGGUUUUUAAUUUCAUUUCUUAUUCCCUACUAUUACAACUGUAACAGAACUCAAUCGGCCUAAGAUUUAACUUUUUUUUUUACAAAGAUUUGCAGAGCGCAAGGACUGUCAACCAUGAUAAGGGAGGAAUUUCAAUAAUAUAAAUAUCAGGAUGGUUUAUUUCACAUGGUAUCAGACCACAGACGCCGGAAUAGAGUAUUACAAUUCCUGUUUGGCUUGAAUGAAUGAUUUAUACCAAUAAGUGAACAGUUGCUCUCAUCUAGUCUAGUGAAGGUUUGCCAAGUUUAAGCAAAGUUUUCGCAUUAAUUUAAAAAGAUGAGAAACAUACAAGUUUUCACAAGAGGAAAAUUGCUGAGGUGGGCCAGUGUAUACUAUGUUCAAUCAGAUCAGUCAAAGAAAAGUAAUCAUCAGAAAAAUCAGAUUACCAAGAAUAACAGUAAACCUUAUUUUGAAUUUUGUAUAAAUGAGAGAAAAUUGAACAUAACUUGUGGUGUGAACAUUGUCAAAGGCAUGUUUGUUAUAAAUUGGUUGGGUAUCCUAAGAGAAAUAAAUAUGAGAACAAAGACAAAGGGAAGACCCCAGAAAUGGCUCUUCAAGAGAUGAUUAAACAGUCAUCCUCAUGUAUGAAUCUAUGUGUUUAAUGUAAAUGUUUCAAAUUCAAUAAAUUACAUAGAUGAAUUUCGAAUAUUAUUAAAUACAGGCG